UGCAGAGUGAUUCAACUACAGCUGACCGCAGAUCUAGCUAAACCAGCUGAAAUACAGAGCAUUCUCUUAGUACAGGGACAGCAUGGAUCCAACAUCUUCAAACUCAGGAAUGGGUAGAAAUCAUAGUGUCCUGGGGAAAUGAUCUUUAGAUGGACUACUCUUAAAUGACACCCUCUUUGGAGACUCUAUUCCUUUCUACAAUCCCAGCCUCCCUUUACCACCAUGGGUAACAUUUGGAGCCUAUUAGUUUGCGUCAUUGAAAACUGCAGGAAUCUGCCUUGUCUCUUCCUCCUCACUACUACUCAUUUCUAGAAGCAGGCAAAAUGUGUCUGACUUCUCCUGAGACUGAGCAACUAUUCUUGAGGUAGGGUAUCCUGGUAGGAAUUGAUCUUUUUUUUCCACUGAUUGCUCUGGACACUCAGGACAUUGGCAGUUUGACUCACUUAUGUACUAUCCAUCCUUGAUGUGAGUAAAACUGAAACUAACACUGUCCCCUUCAAGAAGUAAUGACUUUGUGAAGGUCUUGGGAUCACUUAUGAUGAAAUGGGCAGGCAGUUGGGUGGGCGAAGUUCACCCAGAUGCAGGUACACCGACAAAGGAUUCUAUCCGUGGGCACUGUGAAGGAAAAUCUGCAAUUUCAGUA
Molecule: long non-coding RNA, 643 nt
Organism: Neopelma chrysocephalum (saffron-crested tyrant-manakin)
Lineage: Eukaryota; Metazoa; Chordata; Aves; Passeriformes; Pipridae
Exons: 3
Source: RefSeq, a predicted model, not a curated record